AUCAUAAUAGAGUCGUAGCUCAUUAGUCUCUAUUCUUUUGAUUUCUAUGUUUUAAAUACAAACUUUCUACUCAAACGAUGCACUUGUUGUACAAAAGUUUUUCGAAUAAAUUUUAAAUUUUAUUAAAAAAA
RNAcentral lists this small RNA (131 nucleotides) under Arabidopsis thaliana (thale cress). RNAcentral describes it as "ATSL174100". Lineage: Eukaryota; Viridiplantae; Streptophyta; Magnoliopsida; Brassicales; Brassicaceae. The record is from RNAcentral.